UACGGGGGGGGCAAGCGUUGUUCGGAAUUACUGGGCGUAAAGGGUUCGUAGGUGGCCGACUAAGUCAGACGUGAAAUCCCCAGGCUCAACCUGGGAACUGCGUCCGAUACUGGAUGGCUUGAAUCCGGGAGAGGGAUGCAGAAUUCCAGGUGUAGCGGUGAAAUGCGUAGAUAUCUGGAGGAACACCGGUGGCGAAGGCGGCAUCCUGGACCAACACUGACGCUGAGGAGCGAAAGCCAGGGGAGCAAACGGG
RNAcentral lists this ribosomal RNA (253 nucleotides) under uncultured bacterium. RNAcentral's name for it is "partial 16S ribosomal RNA". It matches the Rfam family "Bacterial small subunit ribosomal RNA", at positions 524 to 776 of the family's 1533-position model. The record is from RNAcentral.